RNAcentral lists this unclassified non-coding RNA (276 nucleotides) under Hevea brasiliensis (rubber tree). Lineage: Eukaryota; Viridiplantae; Streptophyta; Magnoliopsida; Malpighiales; Euphorbiaceae. The record is from RNAcentral.
AACAUUACAUAAUAGACAUAUUUCAAAGGACUGAUACUUGUUGCAUGAUCUGGAAAUAUCUGUGGAAGCAUUAAGUAGGCCCACCUCUAUACUUGAAAGCAAUAAAACAGACAUUUGGAGGAGGGAGAAGAUGAACAUACUACAGGGAUUUGUUCCAUACAGCACGGAGUCGGUAAACGUUAAUUGCACUGCUGAUUUUUAAGGACACUGUUCCUCCUCUCUUGCAGCAACUUUGUGAUAUUGUGCCAAUUCCAGGUUUGAACAUCUGCAGAAAUG